ACACGACUACAUUAGACUACCCCGGUAGUCCCAGCCCUAAACGAUGCGCGUUAGGUGUAUCGGUGACCACGAGUCACCGAGGUGCCGAAGGGAAACCGUGAAACGUGCCGCCUGGGAAGUACGGUCGCAAGGCUGAAACUUAAAGGAAUUGGCGGGGGAGCACAACAACGGGUGGAGCUUGCGGUUUAAUUGGAUUCAACGCCGGAAAUCUUACCGGGACCGACAGCAACAUGAAGGCCAGGCUGAAGACUUUGCCGGAUUAGCUG
Molecule: ribosomal RNA, 266 nt
Filed under: uncultured archaeon
Lineage: Archaea
Description: partial 16S ribosomal RNA
Rfam family: Archaeal small subunit ribosomal RNA
Source: RNAcentral